UUAACAAGUGGUAUGUGUAAGCAACCAGAUAACAUCAGAUCUUUGCAUGGCAGCGAUUGUAUUCCAUUUGAGAAUACUGUGACAUGUACUUUAUCUUUGUCCACUGUUAUAAUAAUGCUUCACAGGCUACAAAAGAGAGUGCCCAUUGCUACUUGUCACACUGUCAUCCUGAAGCCAGUGUCAUCUGCAGGCUGGAUGAUAGGCUGAGAACUACUGGAAGUGUUGCCCUGACUGAAAAUCUGUGCAACAUUGGCGGCAGAAUGCAUGGUGGGAUUAUGCCAGCACAGGAACAAACAAUACUGUGAUGGGUUGAAGCUGAUCCGGAGCUGAGCACACAUGCACUAGCCAG
RNAcentral lists this long non-coding RNA (349 nucleotides) under Androctonus crassicauda. The record is from RNAcentral. Lineage: Eukaryota; Metazoa; Arthropoda; Arachnida; Scorpiones; Buthidae.